RNAcentral lists this ribosomal RNA (394 nucleotides) under uncultured soil bacterium. RNAcentral describes it as "bacterial SSU rRNA". It matches the Rfam family "Bacterial small subunit ribosomal RNA", at positions 26 to 415 of the family's 1533-position model. The record is from RNAcentral.
AGAUUGAACGCUGGCGGCAUGCCUUACACAUGCAAGUCGAACGGCAGCACGGGAGCAAUCCUGGUGGCGAGUGGCGAACGGGUGAGUAAUACAUCGGAACGUGCCCAAUCGUGGGGGAUAACGCAGCGAAAGCUGUGCUAAUACCGCAUACGAUCUACGGAUGAAAGCAGGGGACCGCAAGGCCUUGCGCGAAUGGAGCGGCCGAUGGCAGAUUAGGUAGUUGGUGGGGUAAAGGCUCACCGAAGCCGACGAUCUGUAGCUGGUCUGAGAGGACGACCAGCCACACUGGGACUGAGACGACGGCCCAGGACUCCGUACGGGAGGCGAGCAGGUGGGAACUUUUGGACAAGUGGACGAAAGCUGAUCAGCAAUGACCGUCGUGCAGGACUAGGAA